Molecule: transfer RNA, 71 nt
Filed under: Marmota monax (woodchuck)
Lineage: Eukaryota; Metazoa; Chordata; Mammalia; Rodentia; Sciuridae
Description: tRNA.Ala
Rfam family: tRNA
About the family: Transfer RNA (tRNA) molecules are approximately 80 nucleotides in length. Their secondary structure includes four short double-helical elements and three loops (D, anti-codon, and T loops).
Source: RNAcentral
GGGGCUGUAGCUCAGUGGCAGAGUACUUGCCUAGCAUGCAUGAGGCACUGAGUUCGAUUCUCAGCACCACA